Marasmius fiardii PR-910 is the source of this 88-nucleotide non-coding RNA. Lineage: Eukaryota; Fungi; Basidiomycota; Agaricomycetes; Agaricales; Marasmiaceae. The record is from the annotation of a GenBank genome assembly.
GGCCGCCUGGCGAAAUGGCAUCGCGUCUGACUACGAGCAUAAUAUGACUCUGAUCAGGAGAUUGCAGGUUCGACCCCUGCGGUGGUCA